UUACCAAGAAGCAUUGCCUAAAGAGGGUUUCAUACGAAAGACUCGAACAUAAUGCUUAGCAAAACAGUAGUUUCACCCGUUGUAAUCUUAGUAGUUGUGUCAGAGCUAGUGACAACUGCUGUAAGGCCAGCGGGACAGUAAUGUUUACAAUAUUAGACUGUCAACGGCCAGAUAGUUAUAUGCCGGUGAUUUAAAUUAGAACACACAUAUUUUUCUUUAUUAUUGAAACGUAAUGUUAUGCUAGUAUUAAAAAUGAAACCUUCCUAGAUGCCCAACGGUACACAUUGAUGACCUCUUUAGUAACCUGAAUAAU
Small nucleolar RNA from Rhagoletis pomonella (apple maggot), 313 nucleotides. Lineage: Eukaryota; Metazoa; Arthropoda; Insecta; Diptera; Tephritidae. The record is from RefSeq and is a predicted model, not a curated record.